This 278-nucleotide unclassified non-coding RNA is filed under the name Hevea brasiliensis (rubber tree). The record is from RNAcentral. Lineage: Eukaryota; Viridiplantae; Streptophyta; Magnoliopsida; Malpighiales; Euphorbiaceae.
CUCUCUCUCUCUCUCUCUCUAGCUGUUUUCGCUCCACUAUGUCCCCUGGUUUACUGAAAUCUCUGAUAAUUCUCGCAAUCUUGGCAAUCCUAAGGCUGAGUUUCGCCUUUCAACUGGAUGACACGCUCACUUAUGUCUGGCCGCUGCCAUCGGAGUUCAGUUCCGGCGAUCACACCCUAUCCGUUGACCCUGCCCUUUCGCUUGUUGUCAGCGGCGACGGAGGCAAUUCCUCAAUCAUCAAAGAUGCGUUUGACAGAUACAAGAGGAUUAUCUUCAAG